CUCUGGGCACGACUGAGGCUCAGGGCGGAAAGAG
Molecule: non-coding RNA, 34 nt
Submitted as: unclassified sequences
Source: Rfam